AGGAUAGAGCAAGCAGGCAGCCAUCUCCAAGCCAGGAAGAGUCUUCACCAGAACUCAACCAUACUGGUACCCUGAUCUUGGACUUGCAGCCUCUACAACUAUCACUUGCUCUGGGAGAAGCCAGCAGCCCUGUGAAGAGGGCCAGGUGGUGAAAAACUGAGGUUGCUGGCCAAAGACCAAGGCUUCUUUCCAACGGCCAUUUGCCUGGGCCCUCUCGGACACAGAUCCUUUAAUCCCAGUGCAGUUUCAGAUGACUGCAGCUCCGGCCAGCAUCUUGACAGUAACCUCCUGAGACAGCCUGAGCCAGAACCACCUGGCUAAGCCACUCCCAGAUUCCUGACCCUCAGAAACGGAUUCCUUCAGUGCCUAACAGACAGAGGUUUCCUGGUGGUUUUCUCUGAAAUCCUGGGCUGGAAGUUUGAGGGGGCUCUCUCCUUCCCUACCCUGAUGCGUCCACCGCUCUUCUUUCUCAGACUUUCGCUAAAGGUCCUGGAACUUCUGCUUUUGGUAAAAGAGGAACACGUUCUAAAGUCGACUGUGAUGAUGGACGCACAUGCCUGUGAAUAUACUCCACCAGUGAAUUGUACACUAUAAGUGGAUGAAUGACCCUGUAAAUAUGCUACAAGGCAAAAAAAAAGAAAAAAAAAAAAAAAGGAGACUUUGUAGAUCUUGUUAAGGAUCUUGAGAUGGAUGAGUGUCCUGAAUUGUCCAGGUGGGCCGAAUGUAAUCCCAGUGGUCCUUAGAAGAGGGCGGCGGGAGGGUGAGAAUCAGAGAAGAACUAUGAGGACAGAAGCAGAGGUCGGAGUGAUGCCAUUGCUGGCGCUGGAGAUGGAGGAAGGGGACUCAAGUCACGGAACGCAAACAGCUUCUAGAAGACGGAAAAGGCAAGGAAACAAAUUCUCCCCAAGAGCCUCCAGAAGGAGCCCAGUCCAGCGAACACCUUGAUUCGGGCCAGUGAGACCCAUUUCAGACUUCCGACCUCCACAACUGUAAGAUAAUAAAUUUUUGUUGUUUGAAGCCACUAAGUUUGUGGUGGUUUUUUAUAUAGCAGAAAUAGAAAAUGGAAACAUGAAUACAUACAUUAAAAAAAUAAAGUCAGUCACUUGUAAUCCACCUCUCAGAAUGAACUCAUGGUUUUUAAUAUCUAUAACUUGGCGGUCAAGUGAUGACCGGAACUGGUGUGGGGAGGCACACGUACAG
RNAcentral lists this long non-coding RNA (1200 nucleotides) under Equus asinus (donkey). RNAcentral's name for it is "lncRNA (ENSEASG00005030851.1)". Lineage: Eukaryota; Metazoa; Chordata; Mammalia; Perissodactyla; Equidae. The record is from RNAcentral.